CCUACGGGCGGCAGCAGUGAGGAAUAUUGGUCAAUGGGCGCAAGCCUGAACCAGCCAAGUAGCGUGCAGGAUGACGGCCCUACGGGUUGUAAACUUCUUUUAUAAGGGAAUAAAGCGAGUCACGUGUGCCUGUUUGCAUGUACUUUAUGAAUAAGGAUCGGCUAACUCCGUGCCAGCAGCCGCGGUAAUACGGAGGAUCCGAGCGUUAUCCGGAUUUAUUGGGUUUAAGGGGAGCGUAGAUGGGUUGUUAAGUCAGUUGUGAAAGUUCGCGGCUCAACCGGAACAUUGCAACUGGUACUGGCAGGCUUGAGUACAGUGGAGGCAGGCGGAAUUCGUGGUGUAGCGGUGAAAUGCUUAGAUAUCACGAAGAACCCCGAUUGCGAAGGCAGCUUACUAAACUGCCACUGACAUUGAUGCUCGAAAGCGUGGGUAUCAAACAGGAUUAGAUACCCUUGUAGUC
This 460-nucleotide ribosomal RNA is filed under the name uncultured bacterium. RNAcentral describes it as "partial 16S ribosomal RNA". It matches the Rfam family "Bacterial small subunit ribosomal RNA", at positions 338 to 795 of the family's 1533-position model. The record is from RNAcentral.